This 448-nucleotide long non-coding RNA is filed under the name Ananas comosus (pineapple). Its description in RNAcentral is "long non-coding RNA (ACOM_LNC023725)". The record is from RNAcentral. Lineage: Eukaryota; Viridiplantae; Streptophyta; Magnoliopsida; Poales; Bromeliaceae.
AUUCGAGUUUAUAUUGAAUUUAGGAAAAAACUUCAAAUGCCUCCUAUGUGGUUUCGCACUUUUUCAUUUUAGCACCCUAUGGUUUCAAGUGUAUCAAGUUAGUACCCUGUGGUUUCGCACUUUCUCACUUUAGUACCCUGUGGUUUCAACUGUAUCUGUUAGUACCCUGUGAUUUCACACUUUCUCACUUUAGUACCCUGUGGUUUAAUAUUUUGUUAAAUUAUAUACCCAGAAAUGGAUAAUAAAAAGAGAAAAUUGAAACCACAUAAUACUAACUUGAUACAAAAAUGAAACCAUAAGGUACUAACUUGAUACACUUGAAAUCAUAGGGCACUAAAGUGAGAAAGUGCGAAACCACAGGGUACUAACGUGAUACACUUAAAAUUACAGGAUACUAAAGUGAAAAAGUGCGAAACCACAUAGGGGUAUUUGAAGUUUCCCCUUGAAU